UAGGGAAUCUUCCACAAUGGACGCAAGUCUGAUGGAGCAACGACGCGUGAGUGAAGAAGGUUUUCGGAUCGUAAAGCUCUGUUGUUGGUGAAGAAGGAUAGAGGCAGUAACUGGUCUUUAUUUGACGGUAAUCAACCAGAAAGUCACGGCUAACUACGUGCCAGCAGCCGCGGUAAUACGUAGGUGGCAAGCGUUGUCCGGAUUUAUUGGGCGUAAAGCGAGCGCAGGCGGAAUGAUAAGUCUGAUGUGAAAGCCCACGGCUCAACCGUGGAACGGAAUCGGAAACUGUCAUUCUUGAGUGCAGAAGAGGAGAGUGGAAUUCCAUGUGUAGCGGUGGAAUGCGUAGAUAUAUGGAAGAACACCAGUGGCGAAGGCGGCUCUCUGGUCUGCAACUGACGCUGAGGCUCGAAAGCAUGGGUAGCGAACAGG
Molecule: ribosomal RNA, 429 nt
Filed under: bacterium
Lineage: Bacteria
Description: partial 16S ribosomal RNA
Rfam family: Bacterial small subunit ribosomal RNA
Source: RNAcentral